This 73-nucleotide transfer RNA is filed under the name Zea mays. RNAcentral's name for it is "tRNA-Thr (TGT) (tRNA-Thr-TGT-4-1)". It matches the Rfam family "tRNA". Rfam says of the family: Transfer RNA (tRNA) molecules are approximately 80 nucleotides in length. Their secondary structure includes four short double-helical elements and three loops (D, anti-codon, and T loops). Further hydrogen bonds mediate the characteristic L-shaped molecular structure. tRNAs have two regions of fundamental functional importance: the anti-codon, which is responsible for specific mRNA codon recognition, and the 3' end, to which the tRNAs corresponding amino acid is attached (by aminoacyl-tRNA synthetases). tRNAs cope with the degeneracy of the genetic code in two manners: having more than one tRNA (with a specific anti-codon) for a particular amino acid; and 'wobble' base-pairing, i.e. permitting non-standard base-pairing at the 3rd anti-codon position. Lineage: Eukaryota; Viridiplantae; Streptophyta; Magnoliopsida; Poales; Poaceae. The record is from Rfam by way of RNAcentral.
GCCCACUUAGCUUAGAGGUUAGAGCAUCGCAUUUGUAAUGCGAGGGUCAUCGGUUCAAAUCCGAUAGUCGGUU